This 5560-nucleotide unclassified non-coding RNA is filed under the name Leishmania donovani. RNAcentral's name for it is "gene:LdHU3.09.1870(CDS-product:hypothetical_prote in_conserved)". The record is from RNAcentral. Lineage: Eukaryota; Euglenozoa; Kinetoplastea; Trypanosomatida; Trypanosomatidae.
GAGCGUUCUUCCGCAUAUAUUCCGAGGUGGCGCAAAACACGAGAAGCGACCUCUUGCUUCGUGCGGCGCAUGUGUGCGUCCUGGCUUCGAGCCGUGCUCACUCCGUCAUCUUGGUGCUUUCAGCUUCUUCACGCUGACAAGCAACCUUAUCUUCCUCCCUUUGGGCUCUGUCAUCCCUCUUUGGUCACGAAACUGCGACAGGCAGGCUAUGGUUCUUUUUUUUUGUGUUGAAAAGCCGGCUCGCAAGGACGGAGGCAAGGGAGACCGGAGGGCGGAGGCAAAGGAUGAGGAGACUUACACGUGGUCGACCUUUGAGAAUCGCAUCGCCGUUAUCUACGAGGCUCGAAAGGGAGCGCAGCCUUCCGCAGAGGAAAUCGAGUCGCAGCUUCGAGUGGCCCAGUACCCUCUAACGCCCCGGUUCUUUGCUACCCCCUUGGAUGGCAUUGUGGACGGAGGCGAUGAGCAAGAGGCGACGGCACUGCAGUGGGUGUUUGAGGACAUCAUGCAGUGUGUUCAGCGAAGAGAGAACAUCACUCUUGUCCACCGAGGCGUCCACGUCGAGGCGCAUCUCGAGCCCAUCCUGGUCGCCUUUCUUCAGGCAGUCCGAUCGUCAGCGGAGUACGGAAUGCAAGUUGCCGCGGAUGAAAUCGCGAAGGAGAAGCAAAUGCAGCGACUUCUGCAGAUGAACGUGAACGCCGUCGAGGUGGAUGCGACGGAGGCACGCGGCAUAAAGGUGCACGAGCGCGACAUCGCGAGGCAGGGCGGAGGCAGCGUGCAGCUGUCAAAGGAGCUGCGUAAGAAGAUCGCCAAGCUGCGACAGGAAUACCACUAUGUGCACCCCGCUGACAGGCAGGCAGCUGCAGUGAACCGCUACGGGCUCAUCACAGCCGCUCACAAUGACCUCCUGAAGCCGCCUCACAUCGACUCGUCUUUACUGAUGCCGCAGGCGUUCGCGGCGUCUCCCCCGGCGAGCCGCGCUACCCGGGCAUCUAUGGCUGCCUCACUAAUGGCGGCCAAGAACGCACGUAGCCACACUGCCAUCUUCAAUCAGUUGCAGCGCCGCAAUACUGCAGGGCUGCUGUCAGAGCUGCGGGAGCAGGAGUCGGGCGGCGACUGUGAGCCCAUUCGCGGAAAUGGCUGGGGCGACAAGAUCACUCUCUACACCUUCGACGGCGUGUCGUCCGUGAUGGCGCUGCCCGGAAUUCCCAACUUCGACGAGGUGGUUCGCGAGUUGGCGCUCGAUUUUUGGGUUCGCACGGACUUGAAGCCAGUAGACGGCAAACGAGUGCUGAUACAGAUCAUGGAAGGCCAGCGCGAGGACGUCGGCCAGUUGUUUCAGUUGAGCCUCAACUGGUACGAGGACAUGCCAGACUCGGUCCGAGUCAUCAUUCGCGACUCCGCCAACCGAGUACUGGAGGCGGUGGCAUCUGUGGCGAAAGCAGGCCUUACCGACGGCACGAAUUUCCACCACUUGAUGUUACGCGUUCACAGUUUAGAGGAGGGACAGUUGUCGUGCGAGGUGGACGGGCGGUUCAUUGACAUUCAGCUCAUUCAGCAAGAGCACCCCAUCGCCUUCAACCCAUGGUCGCAUCGCCUCUUUGUGGGCGGCUACCUUGACGAGGUGAACGCGCCAGCCUUGGUGUUUCGUGGUGUCAUUGCGGAGCUGCGGUUCUGGUCAGGCGUCUUUCCUUCGCACCCCAUUGUCCGGUGGCCGCUCUUUGCCGUCGAGAACGGGACGCUGCAGGAAGUGACGCGCACGAUUCCUGCUGACCAUCACGAGACACUGUUGAACCUGCGCGCUGUGGAGGAGCCGUCACCGCGCAGCGCUCCGUCGUUUGACGGCAACCUAGUCAUGAACGUCGGAACGCUGCCGCUUUUCGGCCCUCUCAUGCACAACUGGCGAAUCGAGUUGUGCUUCCGCACGGAUGUCUCGUCGCGGAUGAUGACGCUCUUGGGUGUGACGGACAGCAACUUCCAAAUGCAAGAGUUCGGUAUCGUGCUGAACUCGGAACCAGUCAUCACAAAGGAGCGGCUACGCUACCACGAGCUUCACACGACCUUCUACGUUGUGGACGCGUUCGGUGCUUGCUGCUCUGCGCUACUCCGCGGCACCGAGCGGCAGAACUUGAUGGAUGGCGAGUGGCACAAGCUCGUGUGGCGGUGCAUUGACAGUGAAGCAAACAAGUUCAGUGUCAAGGUGGAUGAUGUGCUGCAGGAUCUGCUCUUCGUGUCGAGGGAGGGCCCGACGCGGUUCGUGAGCUACGACAACUGGAUCGCGGUCGGCGGACACAACGUACGUAACUGGAAGAUUCAACGCCCUUUCACAGGCCAGAUCGACCAUUUCUACCUCUCCUUGCGUGGAUACCCGUACGUUACGCUGGAGAUGAACGAGGGUCCCGGCGCUUACGUGCUGCAGGACCGCUCUCAUCACCACAACCACGGGCUGCUCAUCAACUCCGCGACGAACGUCGUGCGCCGCAACGACGUGGUUUGGAUUCCCGGCCCCGCCGACAAGUCCCAAGACCUCGAUCACGGCGCCUUGCCUGACAUGCGGAUCUUUAAGAGCAACGACGUUUCCGUUGCGGCGGUGGUGUUCACGUGCACGUUCGACGAGGAGAACAUUGCGCGCGAGACGCUGUAUGACGUGCUGUCCGGGAAGUUCCGUGAGCUCGAGCGCACACCGCACAUUCUCCCUGAACACACAGAGACGCAGUGGAGGUCGUGGUACGGACUUUCUGCGGAGUGCUACCACGCAUUCGACAGUGUGACGCGGCUGGAGGAAUCCAUCAACACAGUACUGAGGGCAACUGCGCCGCGGGGGCACUUGCUGAUCACCGUGCGCAUCGGUGACUGCCUUGCUUCCGUACUUCACAUCCGCGAGCCUGAGCGGCCGGCUGACGCGGUGUACGACUGCAACAUGCUGAGGUGGCACUACCCGUACAUGGUCGAGGGAAUGCGGGGCCGGCGCGAGCUCAUGCUGAAUCGCAUGAUCGAAGGUGCGGAGUCGGUGCUCCUCAGCGUCACGUUGAAGCCGUACGUUACUGCCAAGUUGGGGCCGCUGAAUUCCGGGCCCAGGUCCGUACUCACCGACGACAUCAUUCGCAGCCUGCAGAACAGCGGACGACCGUGGUUCUUGCCUGCGGUGCUUCACGCGCAUCUGCUGAAUGCUGAAUUCGGCUCGACGCUGCAUCUGAUUCAGCGCGUACGCCCGCAUAUGUCGGCGAACGAAGCGGCAGCUGUCUCUCUCUUCAACAAGAAGCUGUUUGACGGCGUGCGCGAGAACGCUGCACUGUUGAUUCAGCGAAACUGGCGUGGCUGCCUAGGGAAGCGCGAGGCCGCGCGGCGAAGCGAGCAGCGCAGCUUGAACGACCGAAAGGUGGAGGAAAUCCGCACGCUUCGUAUGAAUGCGGCCGUCAAGACGAAGGGGUCGCUAUGCGCGCUGCUCAUAACGUUGCAUCAUCCGCGGUGUCCCGGCGUGCCGGCCAUCGACGGCGACACAAGACCGCUCGAGGAGGCGCUCCGACAGCAAGGCUACGAGGUGACGACGCUGGAGGACCCCGACAUGGCAACGAUGCUACGUGCCGUCUCGCAGACAGAUACGACGAAGUCCAACUUCAUCUACGUUAGCGGCUACGGUGGUGCACUGGGCCUUCGUCAGCCACCGGUCUUUGGGUUAGAGUCGUUGGCAGUGUACAUCGAGGAGCAGGCGCAGCGGGCAACCUUGGAAAGCGGCGAAAGCGGCGCGUUCCGUCAGCUAAUGGCGCAAAUGGAGGAGGAGAAGGCCAGGGUGCCAGCCAAGAAGCCGAAGAAAAAAGCGAAGAAGGCUUCUGCGACUGCUCGGCCGAAGAAGAAGACGGCGGAGGAGGUCGAGCUUGAGCAGCGUGAAUUUGAAAGUGCACUACGCUCUCACUGCCAGCAAAUGGAGCAGGAGGAGUCGUGUGCGCGGGACAACCUUGUUGGCGAGUGGGAAACGAUGAACCAGCUGCUGUCGCGUGAGCUGCGACGUGCAGUCGCCGUCACACGGGAGUACGAGGAGCGCUACAAAGCGAAGGGGCCUGAAGGCGGCGCACAGAGCUACGUCUACCCGUGCGAGUCGCACAUGAUUGAGCCCUUCGCCACGACCGUGGUGGAUGUGGAGGAUGUCAUCGGUGCUGCGCUGCACCGACAGGCCCCACCACUAGGCCUGCAAUGCGUCGUCGCUGUCGACCUCCAGCCGGUGACGCCGUACUCGUGUGGCAUGGCGUGCCUCGCCAGCAGUACCGGAAACACGUUCCGGGUGCCUUACCGGCCGCAGCAACGAGAGCUCCUGUCACUGAUCCUCGUAAAAGCUUUUAAUGGACAGCUGCCGAAGGUAUCGGCCACUUUCAAGUAUGCUAUUCUCUCCGGUGGCAUUGAAACAGCUGCGAAUGAGCGGGACUGGAAGUCGUUUGCGUCGUAUGUGGUUGGGAAGCUGCAACGCUACUGCUCUCCCGAGUGCUGCCGGCCGCUGCGUGACGAGUUAGAUCGGCAUGUUCCCUUUGUCGCGGAGUUGGUGCCUGUGCGCGAUAUUGUCAUGGACGCCGAGGCGAGGGAUCGUCGGCGUCGCGAACGGGAAACACAGAAGGUGAAGGCGCAAGUGACAUUUGGCGUUGGCAGCGCGAAGGUGCAGAGCGAUAUGUUUUCCCUCUUCCGAGACUUCCUGGAGGGUGUUACAGUUAGCGAUCUUGUCUUUGCCAACACAAUUUGCAUUCUCUUAACCCAUCACAACAAAGGAAUUGAUGGGAUUCAAGUUGAGGAUGUUACGGAUGCGCUGGAGAAGUGCCGCCCUUCCGCGUGCACUUUGGCAUUUGAGGUCCGAGUGACUGCCGGUGGUGUGGAGGUGCAGUUCAAGGCGUCCGACGCAGGGGACAGGCUUCUCCUUAGUCAGUGGCUCAACGCGCUCUCCUUGCGCAGUCUGACGUGGCAGUUCCGCCAGCGACCGCUCUUUGGAACCUCACGGCUGGAAGUUGACUACAUCGAGCACCUGUACGAUGCCAAGAUUGCAUGUAGUGCUCGCCGCUACCGGCAGCUGUGCAAGCAGUUCGACGCGUUUCCUGUGCCGAAACCGUACGUUCGCUUCGUGCGAACCCGCGUGUCGAAGUCGCCAAAGCAGAACUGAGGCCCGCAGGGAAGGUUCGUGGGAUGCUGAUGCAUUGCUCAGUCGUUCCUCUCUGCUUUGAGUUUCUUUUUUUUUGCUGAGGCUGCCGUGCACUUCACGAUUCUCCGCCCAACGAGGAGCGUGUCAGCGUUAUGUAAAGUGUGGUACAGUCGCUUUGCUUUGGUGUGUUUCUCUUUCCCUGGCGCAGGCACGCGCGUAUGCGUCUACGCAUGUGUGUACGUGUGUAUCGGCUGUCGUUUCUCUACCGAGACCAGUAGAGAAGUAGCCCUGCGAUUGAGUGAGGAUAGCCUUUUGCAAGUAUCAGGCGCUUCUCCUUGUCUUACUGGUGCGGUGCUGCGGUUUCUUACUUUGUUUUCGCUUCAGCCAUGUACAGAACUCCCUCACCACAGAGAGGUGUUUCAUGAUGAUUCUCCACGAUGUUUC